This 253-nucleotide ribosomal RNA is filed under the name uncultured bacterium. Its description in RNAcentral is "partial 16S ribosomal RNA". It matches the Rfam family "Bacterial small subunit ribosomal RNA", at positions 524 to 776 of the family's 1533-position model. The record is from RNAcentral.
UACGGAGGGUGCGAGCGUUGUCCGGAAUCAUUGGGCGUAAAGCGCGUGUAGGCUGCUUCGAAAGUCGGAUGUGAAAGCCCUGGGCUCAACCUAGGAAGUGCAUUCGAAACUUCGAAGCUUGAGUUCUGGAGAGGAAGGCGGAAUUCUCGGUGUAGAGGUGAAAUUCGUAGAUAUCGAGAGGAACACCGGUGGCGAAGGCGGCCUUCUGGACAGUGACUGACGCUGAGACGCGAAAGCGUGGGGAGCAAACAGG